Molecule: ribosomal RNA, 253 nt
Filed under: uncultured bacterium
Lineage: Bacteria
Description: partial 16S ribosomal RNA
Rfam family: Bacterial small subunit ribosomal RNA
Source: RNAcentral
UACGAAGGGUGCAAGCGUUGCUCGGAAUUAUUGGGCGUAAAGCGCACGUAGGCGGUUUGUUAUGUCGGAUGUGAAAGCCCUCGGCUUAACCGAGGAAGUGCAUCCGAAACUGGCAAGCUUGAGUACAGAAGAGGGUCUCGGAAUUCCCGGUGUAGAGGUGAAAUUCGUAGAUAUCGGGAGGAACACCAGUGGCGAAGGCGGAGACCUGGGCUGAUACUGACGCUGAGGUGCGAAAGCGUGGGGAGCAAACAGG